RNAcentral lists this transfer RNA (73 nucleotides) under Spirochaetales bacterium. RNAcentral's name for it is "tRNA-Val". It matches the Rfam family "tRNA". From Rfam's summary of the family: Transfer RNA (tRNA) molecules are approximately 80 nucleotides in length. Their secondary structure includes four short double-helical elements and three loops (D, anti-codon, and T loops). Lineage: Bacteria; Pseudomonadati; Spirochaetota; Spirochaetia; Spirochaetales. The record is from RNAcentral.
GGGCGAUUAACUCAGUGGCUAGAGUGCUACCUUCACACGGUAGAAGUCGGUGGUUCAAGUCCACUAUCGCCCA